Molecule: long non-coding RNA, 573 nt
Organism: Pogoniulus pusillus (Red-fronted tinkerbird)
Lineage: Eukaryota; Metazoa; Chordata; Aves; Piciformes; Lybiidae
Exons: 2
Source: RefSeq, a predicted model, not a curated record
GUGGAAUUCUUGUGGAUGAGGCCACUUACUGUCAACUAGGUCUUAUCCAUGACUAUGAGAGAGAUGCUGAGAUGAAAGAAGACAGGAGUUUUGCCAGUUCUUGGGAGACCAAACUGUAAAGAUACUGAUGCUGACUCGUGGAACUCUGGCUGCAGAGAGAGAAGGUUGUGCAUCUGGCAAGCUCAAGGUCAUGUAGUGGGUUCAUGUGCUUGUGGGACAGUGCAGAGCUGCUAGGCAGCUGCUCGGAACACGUGCACUGCUGUCACAUCUGCUCCUUCUGAAACUCCAUGAAUAAGGCACAGCAAAAAAGCUAGAGGAAAAUCCUGGCACUGAAAAUACAUGACAUGCAGACUCUGUGGCACAAGUGGGAAAGUGCAUAAACUGAGGUCUGAGUGAGUCAAUUGCUCAGAGCAAUGAGAUUGGACAAGUUUAAGUGAGAAAAACCCCAGAGGGGCUCAUCAGAGAAAGAGUCCAGUUGCCGCAGGAGUUCAGUUUGUUUUCAGCCUCUUGAUAGAGCUGCAGCCUGGUUUUGAAACUAUGACUUGCAAAAUAUAAAUUGCAUAGUAGUUCCUA